GUGCCAGCAGCCGCGGUAAUACGUAGGGGGCAAGCGUUGUCCGGAAUCAUUGGGCGUAAAGCGCGUGUAGGCGGCCCACUAAGUCCGCUCUGAAAGCCCGGGGCUCAACCCCGGGAGGCGGGUGGAUACUGGUGGGCUCGAGUCCGGAAGAGGUCAGUGGAAUUCCCGGUGUAGCGGUGAAAUGCGCAGAUAUCGGGAGGAACACCAAUGGCGAAGGCAGCUGACUGGGACGUGACUGACGCUGAGACGCGAAAGCGUGGGGAGCAAACAGGAUUAGAAACCCUCGUAGUCC
Molecule: ribosomal RNA, 292 nt
Filed under: uncultured bacterium
Lineage: Bacteria
Description: partial 16S ribosomal RNA
Rfam family: Bacterial small subunit ribosomal RNA
Source: RNAcentral